GAGGAGUAGCCGGAUUUGCGGAAAUAGUUGAUGAUGGUUGUACUUAAAAGUUUCGACCAAUUACCCAGGAGACCAGACAGGAUUCUGUGCCAUCGGAAUAAAAUGCUUCGGUGUAAGACAAUGCCUGCUAGGUGGUAUUGCUUGCAGUUCACUGAGACACACAAACCAAUGACCAUGCAAAACCCAUACCUUCAAAGAAGAGAAUAUGAUUAGGGGCAGGAUGUGGGCCAACGAAGGAGCGUCCCCAUUCUACAUGAAGGAACAGCUGGGCUUGUGCUUCCUAGAUCAUUCUCGGAGAAACACUAGUUUUCAGGGCAAUUGAUUCAUAAAUACAGUGACAUUUAUGGAAAACAAGAGGAAACGAGCGAGGCUGAACUUGUUUGGUUACUUCUCAUCCCAUACAGGUAGCUGCUUCCAACCGCUUCUCCACUAAAUCAAGCUUGUCCUCAAUUCUUAUUGGACCGUUUGACAACAAAACGCCACUGGACUGUCUGGAGGAUGAACACUUGACCCUGGGCACCACUGUACUGUAUGGAGAGAGCCCGUUGUGUGUUAUAGUGAAGAU
Molecule: long non-coding RNA, 565 nt
Organism: Ailuropoda melanoleuca (giant panda)
Lineage: Eukaryota; Metazoa; Chordata; Mammalia; Carnivora; Ursidae
Exons: 3
Source: RefSeq, a predicted model, not a curated record